Molecule: non-coding RNA, 1123 nt
Organism: Heterocephalus glaber (naked mole-rat)
Lineage: Eukaryota; Metazoa; Chordata; Mammalia; Rodentia; Bathyergidae
Source: RefSeq, a predicted model, not a curated record
UGGACAGUGUGAUAAGUCUGAACCAGUACCACAAACGCCCAGUUAGAAUAGUAUAAAAGGAGCUGAAGACCUCAAGCAAGUCGACGAUCCGUCCCACCGACCAGUCUACUAGUCAGUCUGUUGAUCUGACUACCGACCGGGACACCUGCACCUGAUCCCGCUGGAAGGAGCAUCGCCGCCGACCAGACGAGACCAGAGGACGAGGCCAGCGGAGAGAGGGACAGCCUAGCUCCGACUCGACGCCCUUCAUCUACGGAUGGGACCCUCUGACCCGACGGGAGGAAACAUCGCGCUCCCAUAAGGACUUGUGCAGUACAGGCCCCCAAGAGAGACCCCUGCCCAACUGAGAAAGAAAAAACCCCAGCAGAUGUAUUGCCUACAAGAACAGCUGUAACAGGAAGCCCGCUGCCGCCUCGCUCAUUCACACCUCCAGGGAGACCCAUUCUCCGAAAAACCACAAGGUCAGUGAAGAAGUAGGCUCCUCCAGGAACUCACUUCAGUGGCUCGGCCAGAAACACUGCAGGACCAGAGAGGAGCAGCCGGCGCCCGAACGCUGGCAUCAGCUCCCCAUACUGGCAGGACUUGUGCUUGUUUUUGGCAGAGGAGACCACAGCAGCUGCUGAAGUAGCCCAGUGGUGAGACAUGGGUGUUAUUUCUGGCUGUGAGAUUACAAACCUAUGAAAUUCCUUCUCUGUACAAACUAGAAUAUGUGGAAGAGAGUCUGUUAUUUCUAUAUUUUAAAAACAUAACUAUAUUCUCUAUAUUUUUAACAUUUUUCUAUUAAUAUUUCAUAUUAAUAUAAAGAAUCAGUCAGCCCAAUUCCCUUGACCUAUGGGCUGCCAAUUGAUUAUACAAGAAGGAAGCCUUCCCUGAACCUUAAGCCCCCCAGGGCGGUUAUGUGCCCUUGACCUGCAUUCAUUUUUUCAAUCACUUAUUGCAGUUUCUAUUGUACACUUUUGUGUGAUUGAGUGACAUCUGUCCCCUUACAGCCUAACGGUCCUGAAAUCAGUAAUUACAUCUAUUUUAGUUACCAGCACUUACCAGCUGGCAUGCAGUCGAUGCUCAAUAAAUGCUGUUAUGGCUUGUGUCUAGAUGUCCCUCCAAAGCCUCAUGCAGUCGUGGG